GUAACAGCAGGAGGAUUUGCCAGGAUGGAGUGAAGGAAGGAGUGACCUAACCACCGGAUUGUAACUUUAAAUAUCUUCUCUACUGAUAUGGCUAUUAAAUGUUACUAGUGUGGCAGAAUUUGCACAGCUGCUGAAAGCAUUCUUCUCAUGGAUAUAAGAAAAGACUUGAAGAGACCACUAUUCCUGAAUCACUUUAUUUGCCAGGGAAAACUGACUUCAAAGGCACUAAGGCUGUGGAUGGAAGGGUCCUCACUGGAUCUGAAUGGUGGCCCCAGAGGCAGGGCCUCAACUGGAAAUGG
Molecule: long non-coding RNA, 299 nt
Organism: Erinaceus europaeus (western European hedgehog)
Lineage: Eukaryota; Metazoa; Chordata; Mammalia; Eulipotyphla; Erinaceidae
Exons: 3
Source: RefSeq, a predicted model, not a curated record